RNAcentral lists this long non-coding RNA (1624 nucleotides) under Equus asinus (donkey). Its description in RNAcentral is "lncRNA (ENSEASG00005030392.1)". Lineage: Eukaryota; Metazoa; Chordata; Mammalia; Perissodactyla; Equidae. The record is from RNAcentral.
CCGCUGCUGCAGCCCGCGGUCCCCAGGGCACGGGCACCGCCCAGCCCGCUGCGGAGACCGGGGGACCGUAGCGGCCGCUUACUGAGUGGGGGGGGGGGGGGUCCGUCGGUGAAGCGGGAAAACACGCCCCCCCCCUCGGUGCGGCCGCAGUGGACCGGCCCAGGGAAAAAGGGAACGCGAGGCCCCUCCCGUCACCACGCGCGGCUGCUCGGGUCGCGCAUGCGCGCGGCGGGGGCGGAGCCUGCGGGCCAGGCGGCGGGAGCGGGCCUCGGGCGCUCUGGCCGGGGUCUCGGGGCCUUGGGCACAGAAGAGCGGAGUGUCGGCGCCUGCUGCCCGACGGGACCCGAGGUAACGCCGCAGGCCGGCUUCUCCCCGCCUGGCCCGAGCCCCUCUCCCGCCUGGGCCGUCGGAGCGAGCCCGCCCCGCCCCCGGAGUCCUGACGACCGCGCGCCGCGACGUGCCCCGCCUCUACCGUCCUCCCGGGGCGGGGCCUGUGGUCCGCGCGGCCCGCGCGCUCGGUUCCGGCCGCCCGGGGAGCACCGCAGGGCGUCGGGAGAGCGACGGGAGUGAGCGUGCGUGGAAGUUGGUCCCGAGGAGGAGGAAGCUUUCGGAGCCCCGGUGCCGCCCCGAUGCGACCUGAACGCGCUUCCGAGGCACGGCUGAGUGGGCCCGCGGGGCUGGAGGCGGAGCGGCGUGGGGCCCCGUCCGCCGUCCUGGUCCGGGGUGCUGCGGCGGCGGCCUCGUGCGCGCGACCAGCCAGAAGGACCCAGAGGGGAGAGGAAUAGUUCUUCCUCCCUACGUGGCUAAGUUCAAAACAGUUGUUUUGUUGAUAAUCGACCUUCAGAGAAUAAACAGCUUGUUUAAUGCUAAUUUGAUCCACGCCCCAUCCUCCACCUGUUCUCUGCUCCAGGACCCUGACCUGACUGGAUUAUAUAAAUAAUCUCCCUCGUACUCUGGCUUCCAGUUGAUUUGGUGAAUGGGGAACCCCAGCAGAGAGUUUCAUGGCAUUGGGAUUGGAGCUUGUCUUUCCUCGUGACUUUCCUGGCCAUUUCCCUGGGAAUCCUGUUCUGCCACUGCUGCUGAAGUGCCCAGUGUCUGCCGUCUUCCGUGGAAUCCUUAUUGUGGCUCACAAGAUCUCUUAGAAUGCCCAUGUCUAUUCUGGGACUCUGAGGUGCUUAGCCUUAAUUACUGAGAAGGAAAAUACAUCAGGAGUUGUUUCAGAACUAUUAUCCCCAAUACGUCAUUUUGGUUAAAGUUCUUAUACUUAGUUUUAGAUAUAUAGUCAUGUGCUGCAUAACAACGUUUCAGGCAACGACGGACCACAUACAUGAUGGUGGUCCUAUAAGAUUAGUACCACAGAGCCUGGGUGUGUAGUAGGCUGGACCGUCCAGGUUUGUGGAAGUGCACUCUAUGAUGUUUGCACAAUGAUGAAAUCACCUAACGAUGCAUUUCUCAGAAUGCACCCCCGUCGUUAAUCGAUGCAUAACUGUACCUGUACUGAUUUCUGAUCAAGUAUGAUUUUGCUGAAAAUUAUACUUUUCAUGCAAAAUAUUUCUCCCUUAUACAAUUAAUUGCAGUAUAAAACUGGUAGGGAAAACAUCAAGCAUUUGGAAUUAAAAAGUUU